UACGAAGGGUGCAAGCGUUACUCGGAAUUACUGGGCGUAAAGCGUGCGUAGGCGGUUUGUUAAGUCUGAUGUGAAAGCCCUGGGCUCAACCUGGGAAUGGCAUUGGAUACUGGCAACCUAGAAUGUGGUAGAGGGUGGCGGAAUUCCCGGUGUAGCAGUGAAAUGCGUAGAUAUCGGGAGGAAUACCAGUGGCGAAGGCGGCUGCCUGGCCUGUUCUUGACGCUGAGGCGCGAAAGCUGGGGGAGCAAACGGG
This 253-nucleotide ribosomal RNA is filed under the name uncultured bacterium. RNAcentral describes it as "partial 16S ribosomal RNA". It matches the Rfam family "Bacterial small subunit ribosomal RNA", at positions 524 to 776 of the family's 1533-position model. The record is from RNAcentral.